UGAACGCUGGCGGCGUGCCUAACACAUGCAAGUCGAACGGGAACCCUUGGAUUCGUCUGGGGGGGAGAGUGGCGAACGGGUGAGUAACACGUAGGUGACCUGCCCCGGAGUGGGGGAUAACCAUUGGAAACGGUGGCUAAUACCCCAUGUGCUCGAUGGUUCAUUCUGUCGAGUAAAGUUCCGGCGCUUCGGGAGGGGCCUGCGGCCCAUCAGGUAGUUGGUAGGGUAACGGCCUACCAAGCCUAUGACGGGUAGGGGGCGUGAGAGCGUGAUCCCCCACACUGGCACUGAGAUACGGGCCAGACUCCUACGGGAGGCAGCAGUGAGGAAUAUUGCCCAAUGGACGCAAGUCUGAGGCAGCAACGCCGCGUGAGCGAUGAAGGCCUUCGGGUUGUAAAGCUCUUUUCUGGGGGAAGAGGAAGGACGGUACCCCAGGAAUAAGUCACGGCUAACUAC
RNAcentral lists this ribosomal RNA (456 nucleotides) under uncultured bacterium. RNAcentral's name for it is "bacterial SSU rRNA". It matches the Rfam family "Bacterial small subunit ribosomal RNA", at positions 30 to 504 of the family's 1533-position model. The record is from RNAcentral.